CCCUUCAGAGGGGGACAACAGUUGGAAACGACUGCUAAUACCGCAUACGAUUCAAUCUCGGCAUCGAGACUGGAUGAAAGGUGGCCUCUAUUUAUAAGCUAUCACUGAAGGAGGGGAUUGCGUCUGAUUAGCUAGUUGGAGGGGUAACGGCCCACCAAGGCGAUGAUCAGUAGCCGGUCUGAGAGGAUGAACGGCCACAUUGGGACUGAGACACGGCCCAG
RNAcentral lists this ribosomal RNA (221 nucleotides) under uncultured bacterium. Its description in RNAcentral is "partial 16S ribosomal RNA". It matches the Rfam family "Bacterial small subunit ribosomal RNA", at positions 129 to 334 of the family's 1533-position model. The record is from RNAcentral.